Molecule: ribosomal RNA, 255 nt
Filed under: uncultured bacterium
Lineage: Bacteria
Description: partial 16S ribosomal RNA
Rfam family: Bacterial small subunit ribosomal RNA
Source: RNAcentral
UACGUAGGGUGCGAGCGUUAAUCGGAAUUACUGGGCGUAAAGCGCGCGUAGGCGGCUUUGUAAGUUAGAGGUGAAAGCCCGGAGCUCAACUCCGGAAUUGCCUUUAAGACUGCAUCGCUAGAAUCAUGGAGAGGUGAGUGGAAUUCCGAGUGUAGAGGUGAAAAUUCGUAGAUAUUCGGAAGAACACCAGUGGCGAAGGCGACUCACUGGACAUGUAUUGACGCUGAGGUGCGAAAGCGUGGGGAGCAAACAGGG